RNAcentral lists this ribosomal RNA (1400 nucleotides) under Pediococcus pentosaceus. RNAcentral's name for it is "bacterial SSU rRNA". It matches the Rfam family "Bacterial small subunit ribosomal RNA", at positions 62 to 1437 of the family's 1533-position model. Lineage: Bacteria; Bacillati; Bacillota; Bacilli; Lactobacillales; Lactobacillaceae. The record is from RNAcentral.
UUGAUUAUGACGUACUUGUACUGAUUGAGAUUUUAACACGAAGUGAGUGGCGAACGGGUGAGUAACACGUGGGUAACCUGCCCAGAAGUAGGGGAUAACACCUGGAAACAGAUGCUAAUACCGUAUAACAGAGAAAACCGCAUGGUUUUCUUUUAAAAGAUGGCUCUGCUAUCACUUCUGGAUGGACCCGCGGCGUAUUAGCUAGUUGGUGAGGUAAAGGCUCACCAAGGCAGUGAUACGUAGCCGACCUGAGAGGGUAAUCGGCCACAUUGGGACUGAGACACGGCCCAGACUCCUACGGGAGGCAGCAGUAGGGAAUCUUCCACAAUGGACGCAAGUCUGAUGGAGCAACGCCGCGUGAGUGAAGAAGGGUUUCGGCUCGUAAAGCUCUGUUGUUAAAGAAGAACGUGGGUAAGAGUAACUGUUUACCCAGUGACGGUAUUUAACCAGAAAGCCACGGCUAACUACGUGCCAGCAGCCGCGGUAAUACGUAGGUGGCAAGCGUUAUCCGGAUUUAUUGGGCGUAAAGCGAGCGCAGGCGGUCUUUUAAGUCUAAUGUGAAAGCCUUCGGCUCAACCGAAGAAGUGCAUUGGAAACUGGGAGACUUGAGUGCAGAAGAGGACAGUGGAACUCCAUGUGUAGCGGUGAAAUGCGUAGAUAUAUGGAAGAACACCAGUGGCGAAGGCGGCUGUCUGGUCUGCAACUGACGCUGAGGCUCGAAAGCAUGGGUAGCGAACAGGAUUAGAUACCCUGGUAGUCCAUGCCGUAAACGAUGAUUACUAAGUGUUGGAGGGUUUCCGCCCUUCAGUGCUGCAGCUAACGCAUUAAGUAAUCCGCCUGGGGAGUACGACCGCAAGGUUGAAACUCAAAAGAAUUGACGGGGGCCCGCACAAGCGGUGGAGCAUGUGGUUUAAUUCGAAGCUACGCGAAGAACCUUACCAGGUCUUGACAUCUUCUGACAGUCUAAGAGAUUAGAGGUUCCCUUCGGGGACAGAAUGACAGGUGGUGCAUGGUUGUCGUCAGCUCGUGUCGUGAGAUGUUGGGUUAAGUCCCGCAACGAGCGCAACCCUUAUUACUAGUUGCCAGCAUUAAGUUGGGCACUCUAGUGAGACUGCCGGUGACAAACCGGAGGAAGGUGGGGACGACGUCAAAUCAUCAUGCCCCUUAUGACCUGGGCUACACACGUGCUACAAUGGAUGGUACAACGAGUCGCGAGACCGCGAGGUUAAGCUAAUCUCUUAAAACCAUUCUCAGUUCGGACUGUAGGCUGCAACUCGCCUACACGAAGUCGGAAUCGCUAGUAAUCGCGGAUCAGCAUGCCGCGGUGAAUACGUUCCCGGGCCUUGUACACACCGCCCGUCACACCAUGAGAGUUUGUAACACCCAAAGCCGGGGGGUAA